RNAcentral lists this ribosomal RNA (253 nucleotides) under uncultured bacterium. RNAcentral's name for it is "partial 16S ribosomal RNA". It matches the Rfam family "Bacterial small subunit ribosomal RNA", at positions 524 to 776 of the family's 1533-position model. The record is from RNAcentral.
UACGUAGGGUGCGAGCGUUAAUCGGAAUUACUGGGCGUAAAGCGUGCGCAGGCGGUUCGUUGUGUCCGAUGUGAAAGCCCCGAGCUCAACUUGGGAACGGCAUUGGAAACUGGCGGGCUGGAGUGUGGCAGAGGGGGGUGGAAUUCCACGUGUAGCAGUGAAAUGCGUAGAGAUGUGGAGGAACACCGAUGGCGAAGGCAGCCCCCUGGGCCAACACUGACGCUCAGGCACGAAAGCGUGGGGAGCAAACAGG